Molecule: ribosomal RNA, 490 nt
Filed under: uncultured bacterium
Lineage: Bacteria
Description: partial 16S ribosomal RNA
Rfam family: Bacterial small subunit ribosomal RNA
Source: RNAcentral
AUUGAACGCUGGCGGCAGGCCUAACACAUGCAAGUCGAACGGUAACAGGAAGAAGCUUGCUUCUUUGCUGACGAGUGGCGGACGGGUGAGUAAUGUCUGGGAAACUGCCUGAUGGAGGGGGAUAACUACUGGAAACGGUAGCUAAUACCGCAUAACGUCGCAAGACCAAAGAGGGGGACCUUCGGGCCUCUUGCCAUCGGAUGUGCCCAGAUGGGAUUAGCUAGUAGGUGGGGUAACGGCUCACCUAGGCGACGAUCCCUAGCUGGUCUGAGAGGAUGACCAGCCACACUGGAACUGAGACACGGUCCAGACUCCUACGGGAGGAAGCAGUGGGGAAUAUUGCACAAUGGGCGCAAGCCUGAUGCAGCCAUGCCGCGUGUAUGAAGAAGGCCUUCGGGUUGUAAAGUACUUUAAGCGGGGAGGAAGGGAGUAAAGUUAAUACCUUUACUCAUUGACGUUACCCGCAGAAGAAGCACCGGCUAACUCCGUG